AUGAACGACACUGAUGAAGCUGUUGGACACUAUACUCUAAACCAAGAUCAUGGUGGUGAUGUGCAGCUGCAGUCGGUUCCUGCUGUAACAGCUCAGAGUCUCUGCAGUCUGACUGAGGGAGGUUUUUUGCAGGAGGUUUUUGUACGGCCACUUAAUGAGUUUGUAUCACUGUGGUGGACUUUUGGUGGAGGAACCAAACUCACCGUUGACUUGGGUGUGGUGCGGCCCACCCUGACCGUCCUCCCCCCCUCCAAAGAGGAGGUGCAGCAGGGCAGUGCCACACUGCUGUGUCUGGCCAGCGGGGGCUCUCCCUCAACCUGGAGGCUGGACUGGAAGGUGGGGGGCAGCAGCAGCAGCUCCUCAGAGGUGUCACACAGCCCGGAGGUCCUGGGGAGGGACGGCCACUACAGCUGGAGCAGCACCCUGAGCCUCUCUGCAGACCGCUGGAGGAAGGCGGGCUCAGUGAGCUGUGAGGCCAGUCUGAAUGGACAGACCCCUGUCACUCAAAGCCUGGACCCUGACCGCUGCUCAGAGUAGAGCUUCAGCAACACUUCCUGUCUGGAAAUGAUGCUUCUUUUUCUUUGCUCCAGAUCUUGAUGAAGCUACAGAUCUUCUCUGUUCAGCUGUUUUAAUGUGCAUGUUGCUUUCUAACACUGAUCUUCUUCAUAUUCUGCUUUAUGUUCAUUACUUUUCAAAUGAAACUGAAUUUUAUGAC
This is a non-coding RNA of Scomber japonicus (chub mackerel), 715 nucleotides long. The record is from the annotation of a RefSeq genome assembly. NCBI's taxonomy places the organism in Eukaryota, Metazoa, Chordata, Actinopteri, Scombriformes, Scombridae.